UUCACCUUCAUUUUCUAGUGUAGAUUAGCCAAAGAGGGACCCGAGCCGCGAAGGAGGACUAGCAGAGCUGUCGUACCCAAAGCCCUCCUGCUGAUAGGUUUUGAUUUUUUUCCUUUUCCAUCCAACCGAGGCCUCCUAACUCAUUUUUCGUAGGUUUACGGGUAAAACUGGCCAAAAUCGGCCAGGCCGAGGUGAACCGCCAUUGUGGACAGCAGAGCCAGCAU
This 224-nucleotide long non-coding RNA is filed under the name Carica papaya (papaya). Its description in RNAcentral is "long non-coding RNA (CPAP_LNC008027)". The record is from RNAcentral. Lineage: Eukaryota; Viridiplantae; Streptophyta; Magnoliopsida; Brassicales; Caricaceae.